CUGUCUCUGGGAUGUUCGCCAGCCGGUCUGAUUCCCCUGAGCCGAUAUCAUCUCUUUAGGAUGGUGUUCUGCAUAUUUAGAGCGUAUGCCUACCUUCGAGUAGGAAACCCAGCAAGUAUGCGUCACCUCCACCUUGAACUUUAGGGUUCAAGGGUAACGACAUGCAGCGGCAUCUUCGGAGCAUUU
This 186-nucleotide non-coding RNA is filed under the name Acinetobacter baumannii. RNAcentral describes it as "6S RNA". It matches the Rfam family "6S / SsrS RNA". From Rfam's summary of the family: E. coli 6S RNA was the first non coding RNA to be sequenced, but its function was unknown until recently. Lineage: Bacteria; Pseudomonadati; Pseudomonadota; Gammaproteobacteria; Moraxellales; Moraxellaceae. The record is from RNAcentral.